This 403-nucleotide ribosomal RNA is filed under the name uncultured bacterium. RNAcentral describes it as "bacterial SSU rRNA". It matches the Rfam family "Bacterial small subunit ribosomal RNA", at positions 356 to 773 of the family's 1533-position model. The record is from RNAcentral.
GGGGAAUAUUGGGCAAUGGGCGAAAGCCUGACCCAGCAACGCCGCGUGAGGGGAGAAGGUUUUCGGAUUGUAAACCUCUGUCCUUGGGGACGAAAAAAAUGACGGUACCCAAGGAGGAAGCCCCGGCCAACUACGUGCCAGCAGCCGCGGUAAUACGUAGGGGGCGAGCGUUGUCCGGAAUUACUGGGCGUAAAGGGUGCGUAGGCGGUUAUUUAAGUCAGAUGUGAAAUCCCCGGGCUCAACCCGGGUAUUGCAUUUGAAACUGGGUAACUAGAGUGCAGGAGAGGGAAGCGGAAUUCCUAGUGUAGCGGUGAAAUGCGUAGAUAUUAGGAGGAACACCAGUGGCGAAGGCGGCUUUCUGGACUGUAACUGACGCUGAGGCACGAAAGCGUGGGGAGCAAAC